RNAcentral lists this transfer RNA (86 nucleotides) under Acidobacteriota bacterium. RNAcentral's name for it is "Acidobacteria bacterium (activated sludge metagenome) tRNA-Leu". It matches the Rfam family "tRNA". Rfam says of the family: Transfer RNA (tRNA) molecules are approximately 80 nucleotides in length. RNAcentral also lists the same sequence under 2 other names. Lineage: Bacteria; Pseudomonadati; Acidobacteriota. The record is from RNAcentral.
CCCCCCGUGGCGGAAUGGCAGACGCAGCGGACUUAAAAUCCGCAGCCCGCAAGGGCAUCCCGGUUCGACCCCGGGCGGGGGGACCA